UGGGGUGUGGCUCAGUGGUAGAGCACCUGCCCAGCAUGCCUGAGGCUAUGGGUUCAAACCCCAGCACCACAA
Non-coding RNA from Ictidomys tridecemlineatus (thirteen-lined ground squirrel), 72 nucleotides. Lineage: Eukaryota; Metazoa; Chordata; Mammalia; Rodentia; Sciuridae. The record is from Rfam.